Molecule: small nucleolar RNA, 102 nt
Organism: Zingiber officinale
Lineage: Eukaryota; Viridiplantae; Streptophyta; Magnoliopsida; Zingiberales; Zingiberaceae
Source: RefSeq, a predicted model, not a curated record
AAUCCAUGAUGUGGGCAGUCUCUCUCUCAAUAUUCCUUUAAACCUAUCCCAACCUUCAUAAAGAGAUUCAGAGUUUAUUUGCCUGAAACUUGUAAUGAGAUU